Molecule: ribosomal RNA, 307 nt
Filed under: uncultured eukaryote
Lineage: Eukaryota
Description: partial 18S ribosomal RNA
Rfam family: Eukaryotic small subunit ribosomal RNA
Source: RNAcentral
CCCUUAGACGUUCUGGGCCGCACGCGCGCUACACUGACGAAGGCAACGAGCUUUCCUUUACCGAAAGGUACGGGUAAUCUUUUGAAACUUCGUCGUGCUGGGGAUAGAUCCUUGCAAUUUUUGAUCUUAAACGAGGAAUGCCUAGUAAGCGCAAGUCAUCAACUUGCGUUGAUUACGUCCCUGCCCUUUGUACACACCGUCCGUCGCUACUACCGAUUGAAUGGUUUAGUGAGGCCUUCGGAUCCGCGACUCGUUUGUGGAGAAGUUGGACAAACUCAGUCAUUUAGAGGAAGUAAAGGUCGUAACA